This 211-nucleotide ribosomal RNA is filed under the name uncultured Colwellia sp. RNAcentral's name for it is "partial 16S ribosomal RNA". It matches the Rfam family "Bacterial small subunit ribosomal RNA", at positions 651 to 861 of the family's 1533-position model. The record is from RNAcentral. Lineage: Bacteria; Pseudomonadati; Pseudomonadota; Gammaproteobacteria; Alteromonadales; Colwelliaceae.
GUAGAGGGUAGUGGAAUUUCCAGUGUAGCGGUGAAAUGCGUAGAGAUUGGAAGGAACAUCAGUGGCGAAGGCGGCUACCUGGACAAAUACUGACACUGAGGCACGAAAGCGUGGGGAGCAAACAGGAUUAGAUACCCUGGUAGUCCACCCCGUAAACGAUGUCAACUAGCCGUCUGUAGACUUGAUCUGUGGGUGGCGUAGCUAACGCGCU